CGGACGGGUGAGUAACGCGUGAGAAUCUGCCCAUAGGACGGGGAUAACAUYUGGGAAACUGGUGCUAAUACCGGAUGAGCCGAGAGGUAAAACAUUUAUGGCCUAUGGAGGAGCUCGCGGCUGAUUAGCUAGUUGGUGGGGUAAGAGCCUACCAAGGCAAUGAUCAGUAGCUGGUCUGAGAGGAUGAUCAGCCACACUGGGACUGAGACACGGCCCAGACUCCUACGGGAGGCAGCAGUGGGGAAUUUUCCGCAAUGGGGGCAACCCUGACGGAGCAACGCCGCGUGAGGGAAGAAUGUUUGUGGACAGUAAACCUCUUUUAAUAGGGAAGAAUUCUGACGGUACCUAUUGAAUAAGCAUCGGCUAACUCCGUGCCAGCAGCCGCGGUAAUACGGAGGAUGCAAGCGUUAUCCGGAAUUAUUGGGCGUAAAGGGUCCGCAGGUGGUUAGUCAAGUCAGCUGUAAAAUACUCAGGCUUAACUUGGGAUGUGCAGUUGAAACUGAUUGACUAGAGUACGGAAGGGGUAGAGGGAAUUCCUAGUGUAGCGGUGAAAUGCGUAGAUAUUAGGAAGAACACCAGUGGCGAAGGCGCUCUACUGGACCUGUACUGACACUGAGGGACGAAAGCUAGGGGAGCGAAAGGGAUUAGAUACCCCUGUAGUC
Molecule: ribosomal RNA, 662 nt
Filed under: uncultured cyanobacterium
Lineage: Bacteria; Bacillati; Cyanobacteriota
Description: bacterial SSU rRNA
Rfam family: Bacterial small subunit ribosomal RNA
Source: RNAcentral